GNCCAUCAGCUUGUUGGUGAGGGUAACGGCCCACCAAGGCGACAACGGGUAGCUGGUCUGAGAGGAUGGUCAGCCACACUGGAACUGAGACACGGUCCAGACACCUACGGGUGGCAGCAGUCGAGAGUCAUUCGCAAUGGGGGAAACCCUGACGAUUCUACGCCGCGUGGAGGAUGAAGGCCUUAGGGUUGUAAACUCCUGUCAAGAGGGAAUAAGCAAGUGAAGGUACCUCUAGGGGAAGGGGCGGCUAAUUCCGUGCCAGCAGCCGCGGUAACACGGAAGCCCCGAGCGUUGUUCGGAUUCAUUGGACGUAAAGGGUGCGUAGGCGGCGCGGAAAAGUUCCCGGCGUGAAAGGCAAGGGGCUCAACCUUUUGACUUGCGUUGGAUACUUCCGUGCUUGAGGACUGGAGGGGAAGACUUGGAAUUCACGGUGUAGCAGUGAAAUGCGUAGAUAUCGUGAGGAAGACCGGUGGCGAAGGCGAGUCUCUGGACAGAUCCUGACGCUGAGGCACGAAGGCUGGGGGAGCGAACAGGAUUAGAUACCCUGGUAGUCCCAGCAGUAAACGAUGUGAGCUUGAUGUGGGGGGAUUCGACCCCUUCCGUGUCGAAGCUAACGCGAUAAGCUCACCGCCUGAGGAGUACGGCCGCAAGGCUAAAACUCAAAGAAAUUGACGGGGACCCGCACAAGCGGUGGAGUAUGUGGCUUAAUUCGAUGCAACGCGAAGAACCUUACCUGGCCUUGACAUGCAUUGUGUCGUCGGUGAAAGCCGGCUAGUCCUGGAAACAGGACGCUUUGCACAGGUGCUGCAUGGCUGUCGUCAGCUCGUGUCGUGAGAUGUUGGGUUAAGUCCCGCAACGAGCGCAACCCUUGUGGUCAGUUACUAACCGGCUUAGCCGGAGGACUCUGGCCAGACUGCCCUGUCAAACGGGGAGGAAGGUGGGGACGACGUCAAGUCAGUAUGGCCCUUAUGGCCAGGGCUGCACACGUACUACAAUGCCCGGUACAAUGUGAACCGAAACCGCGAGGUGGAGGAAAUCGCUCUUGAAAACCGGGCCCAGUUCGGAUUGGAGUCUGCAACUCGACUCC
Molecule: ribosomal RNA, 1087 nt
Filed under: uncultured organism
Description: bacterial SSU rRNA
Rfam family: Bacterial small subunit ribosomal RNA
Source: RNAcentral